Molecule: long non-coding RNA, 368 nt
Organism: Saccostrea cuccullata (small rock oyster)
Lineage: Eukaryota; Metazoa; Mollusca; Bivalvia; Ostreida; Ostreidae
Exons: 4
Source: RefSeq, a predicted model, not a curated record
CUUCCUCUUUCGAUAGCGAGAGAAAACAUCAAAACUGGGAAGUUAUGUAUUCCAAAUUCCUUUAACAAGAACUUUUCAUGAUUUUUUUCACAAACAGAAAAGACAAAUCUUCUAUUGGAUAAAUGUUAUGAAGGUAAAAAGACACAUGAUUAUGAUUUCAUCUAGCAGGUUUAACACAAAGACAGAACGUACAAGUAAUUGGAUUUACUGCUGUAGAAGAAAGUAAAGGAACACCCUCCAAGGAACCAGGCUAUUUUAUUCUGCUCUAAUUUUGAAAGCUGUCAGACCUUGCCAAGAAGUUUAAAUGCCAAGAAUCCAGAAUUAUGCUCCUGGACCAGAUGAAUCAACCCUCAUAUGCUUUGGUAAGU